Long non-coding RNA from Loxodonta africana (African savanna elephant), 12651 nucleotides. RefSeq lists it as uncharacterized. The record is from RefSeq and is a predicted model, not a curated record. The transcript has 3 exons. Lineage: Eukaryota; Metazoa; Chordata; Mammalia; Proboscidea; Elephantidae.
CAUCCUAGUGGUUGUGAACUGAUAUCUCAUUGUGGUUUUGACUUGCAUUUCCUUAAUGGCUAAUGAUGUUGUGUGCCCUUUCAUUCUUUUAUUGGUAUAUCUUCUCUGGAGAAGAUAUCUAUUCAAGAGUUUUGCCCAUUUUUUAUUUGGGUUGACAUCUAGCCUACUUUACAAUGAGGGAAUAAAUUUCACCUUGUAAAAGCCAUUCACUUGAGGUAUUUCUGUUAUAGCAGCACUACAUAACUAAGACAGAAUUUGGUACUGGGAGUGAGGUGCUGCUCUAACAGAUAGCUAAAAUAUGGAAGUGGUUUUGAAACUGUGAAUAGAUAGAGGACUCAGAAGUGAGGAGAACUGUUAACACUGGAGAUAGUGCAGAUGGUGAGAAGCAGCAGCAGAGAACUGGCAGCUGCAGAACCAGGAGACCAGCACCAGAUAGCACUGGAGCUGACCCAUGGAGUUAGAGAGAUGAGUACCUUCCUGCUGAAGCUUACUGGUGGAGUUUGGUGCCUCCAGGCACUGAUCAGUGGAGCUACAGAACUUUGGAAUACUUGCCCCAGCAGAGCAGAGGCCCAAGGGGCCAAGAGACCAAGGAACCAGGAAGCUGAGCUGCCUCAGUCUCAAAGGGUAUGGCCACAACCUCUGGGGUUUCAAAGGGUGGAGCCACGGCCUCUGGUGUUUCUAAGGGUGGAGUUGCCACUGAGAUGGACUAAGAGAAUGAUGUUCCUAAAGCGGAGGGAAUGCAGUUGCUAACCCAGUGGGCCUGGAAGGCAGAGCUGAAGCCCAGAGCCAAGGGACCUCCAAUCAGAAUCCAGAAAGUGUGGACAAUACCUAGAGUCUGAAGGGCUGGGCCAUUGUGUAAAUGGUCUUAGAGAACAGAGGAUUAUUUUCAAGCCUUGAGGGCUAACGUAAUGUGUUCUGCUAACUUGGUGCCUGUUAUCCCUUCUUUCCCUCCAGUUUCUCCCAUUUGUAUUGGAAAUGUCUAGCUUGUGCCUGUUCUGCCAUUGUACCUUUGGAAGAAGAUAACUUGUAUAUUAGAUUUCACCGAUGAAGAGGAACUUUUGGAUUUUGAACUUGGAGUUAAGAUUUUUGCUAUGAUAUGAUGGAGUGAAUAUGUUUUACAUGUGGCAAGGACAUGAAUUUGGGGGGGUCAAAGGAUGGAAUGUCAUAGAUUGAAUUGUGUCUCCCAAAAAUAUGUGUAUCAAUUUGGCUAGGCCAUGAUUCCCAGUAUUGUGUGACUGUCCACCAUUUUGUCAUCUGAUGCAAUUUUCCUAUGUGUUGUAAAUUCUACCUCUAUGAUGUUAAUGAGGUGGGAUAGGCGGCAGUUAUGUUAAUGAGGCAGGACUCAAUCUGCAAGAUUGGAUUGUGUCUUCAGCCAAUCUCUUUUGAGAUAUAAAAGAGAGAAGCAAGCAGAGAGUCAGGGGGACCUCAUACCACCAAGAAAACAGUGCCGGGAGCAGAGCACAUCCUUUGGACCCGGGGUUCCUUCACGGAGAAGCUCCUAGUCAGGAGAAGAUUGAUGAGAAGAACCUUCCUUCAGAGCUGACAGAGAAAGCCUUCCCCUGGAGCUGAUGCCCUGAAUUUGGACUUCUAGCCUAUUUUACUGUGAGGAAAUAAAUUUCUCUUUGCUGAGGCCAUCCACUUAUAGUAUUUCUGUUAUAGCAGCACUAGAUAACUAAGCAGGUUGUUUGUCUUUUUGUUGUUGAGAGGUACCUGUAAAUUUUUGCUUGGGAAAAAAAGGUUUUGGAAACCAUUGAGUGGAAUGAUUGCUGAAAUGCUUUCCAUUCCUGGUUGUCUGUAGUUUUAAAUGCUAAGAAAAAGACCAAUGUUUACCUUCUUCCAACUUUAUUUCACAACAUUAUUGAGCACCUGGAGCAAGGUAAGCGCUACAACCAGUGCUCUACAUAUGUUACCUUAUGUAAAUGGUGGGAUAGAAGGAGGGAAUGGGGCCCAAGGGAGGGGGUUUGUAAAGAUGCAAGGCAAGUGCUAUUGUCCCCAAAUUACGGAUGAGCAAACUGAGGCUCAGGAAGGGAUAAAACUUGCCCAUAGUCACAUAUCUAUGUACUGGCAGAGCCAGGAUGCCAAUCUGAGUUUUUAAAUUUAGAGAAAAGUGCAGGACUCGGGAAAGUGGGCAAGUAGAUUAUUUUGUUUAUUUUUCAUUCAUCUUUGCCUCGCUCCUUUUUCCUUUUGACAAAACAAAUUUGUUUUCAGAUUUUAUUCGUGGAGGAGUUUUUUUUCCUUCCCAGUUGUUCUCUGUUUAAUUGGAAUGGCUCUCUGAGUCAGAAGCAACUGACCUACUUUUGACUAAUAAAGACCCCCGCCCCCAUACACACACAUUCUUAUGAAUCCCAUUCCUUACCCAGCCACAUCUCUGGACUGGUUUAGAAGCAACAACUCCUGGCUGUGGACAACAAAAGUCCUCAAAUGUAUGAAUCCCUUUCUCCUAUGAGACCCAGCUCCCUAGGUGUCUCAUAAUCAUGGAGCCCAUGGGGAGGCCAAGAAGGGUCAGGUAUGUAAGGAGUCAAUGCAGGUAGCAAUCUCCAUGGGCAGUUCUGACCAUGGUCCAUGGUGGCUGUGGGCAAUUAAGCUGAGGUUCAUGGGGUCAUGUCACUUGGGAUCCAAAGGAAAAUUCAAGCAGAAAAAUGACUGGGCCCACCCAGGCCAACAGCUGAGCUUCCAAGCCCGGUCCAUACCCCAGCAAAUGGCCUUCCCUUUCUUCCCCACUCUCUGCCCAUUCCCUCCAUCCCCAAGUCCCCUUAAGUACCAAUAAUGGAAGUGCUUACUAGGCCCCACAACAAUUCACCCUUAUCUUUUAUUUAUAGCUGACAAAGCUCCAAGCAGGAAAAAUAUAAUCACACUUUAAAUAAUGGAAGUUGUAGGUAUUAGAGCUACACGGGCAGUUACCGGAGUUGCAGCAAUGUCUCCCUGCAGACCUGACAGGGCGCAUGCCGACUGCAUUUUUAAUUUUUAAAACAUAUUUCUUCCCAAAUUAUUCCAUGUUACAGAGAAGCCACAUUUAUGGGGGUGAUAAAUUACUGUAAUAAAGUGCCUCUUCCUCAAAUAUAUAGGACAAAGCCACGAUGAGCACAACCCAGCACAGGUGGCCCCAAGAGAGCACAGAGAAGUCCCACUGCCUCGCUCCUCACUUUAAUUAUUUGGCUGAUGUGUCCUACAUUUUUAAUACAGUCACAAGUUUUCUUUAAGCAAGGAGUUAGAAGUGGCCACUAAUUUUGUAUUUGUAGGUGCCAGUGUGUGCAAGGGCAUAUGCAUGUGAGUGCCUGUGUGUGUACCCAUGGGUGGUGAGGCAAGAUGCAUGUGUGCAAGCAGCCAUGUAGUGUGUCUGUUUGUGAAUAAGCUUGCACACUGAAUGUCUGUUCCCAUGUACCAGCAUGUGUGCACACGCGACAGCUUGUGCAUGCACAGAUCCAUGCGUGUGUUGCACACACUUCCUGAGUGUGUCGGGCAUGCAUGAAUGUGCGCUUUUAUGUGGAUCCAUGUGCAUUGGCUAAGCAUGCAUUUUUGUGUGGACCUCUUUGUGUGCAUACAUGGGCAUGCAUGGAUCUGUGCAUGUCAGAAGCACACUGGUUGGAAGUGUAUGUUCAGGCAUGUUUUUUUAUGCUGAUCUGUCUUCUCUUCCCAGACCUCAGGUGCAUUUGAAUUCUUCCUUCUGCAAUGAACCAGCUCUCCUUCCACCUUCCCUCCUUCCUCGAACAGUAAAACACAGUGACUGCCUAGGUUCAAAUCUCAGCUCCGCCUCUUAUUAGCAAGGCUCUCUGUACCUCAGUUUCCCCAUCUGUAAAAUAGGACUCAUAAUAAGAGUACCUCAUAGAGGUGCUGGGAAGAUUAAUGAGUUUAAUGUGUGUAAAGCGCCUCACACGUAGUAAGUACAAGUGUUAACUAUUGUUCUUCCUUCCUUCCUUCCUGCCAGAGGACAAGGCACAGUCUGCUGUAAUCUGCUUGGAAAGUUACAAGCAGGAGAGAGCCAAGGGUGGGGAAACAACUGAUGAGGAAGUAGCUUAGCUCAGCUCCUAUCCUCCCCCUGUCCCAGCUCAUCUGGUGGGGGACAGUGGCAGAAGGAGGGGAGAGGACCCAGUUCUGCAAUGGCCUCCUUGAGGUCCACAUCCAGCUACACAAGUUUGUGGGCUCUCUAGGGCUAGCCCGUGCCCACUUCAUCCCUGCUUGUGUGGUCCCCAGCACAGAGCCCGUCAAAGUGGACACUACAGAAUGUUUGCUGUGUGGAUGAACACUUGGACAGAUGAACAGGAGGGGCGAUAGGGACCCAUUGCCAUUGAGUUGAUUCUGACUCAAAGCGACCCUAUUGGACAGGGUAGAACUACCCCAUAGGGUUUCCAAGGAGCGGUUGGUGGCCAUAGCUUGCCGUAGCUCUUAACCACUGUGCCACCAGGGCAAUGGGUGAGGGUGGCUUAUCUGGGAGGCGAUGACCAGAGCCAGUGGGAGUGAAGGAGUUGGGAAAAUGUGACAGGGAGGGGGAAAAAAAGCCAAUGAGGGCUGUGCAAAUGAGCUGGCUGCUCUGGGGCACCUGGGACUCAGUCCCACAUGAGACCCUCUGAGUAGCUGUGUGCAAGGUGACUCAGAGCUGUCCCACCAAGCCUUAGGCAAGCUGGUGUGUCGAUUCACCACCCACUAUCCAGCAUUGGGUGAGGGCUUCCCCUGGGGACAUUUAAAGACCUGGCAUUCCUGGGCUGCCCUCUGUGAAGUCUGAGAGAGUGCUGUGGUACCAGACAGAGCCCCAGGCAGAGAAAUGGAGACACGGGUGCUAGGGGUGGGAAGAUGCGCAUUGCGUGGAGACAGUCCACUAUAGUCUACGGGCUGCAGAGGAGGGCCAGGGGAUAUAGGCAGUGCAUUGACAGCAUCUGCUCCAGGGAAGUGUUGGGCAGAUGGAUUCAGGGAUGGAUGUGAGGGUGGAUGGAGACGUAGACACAUGGUGGUCAAUGAGCUUUCUCUGGCUGGGGGGAAGGAGCUGGUCCAGUGGGGUGGCCAUGAGGCCCACAUCUUCCCCCGUAGAUCUGGCAAAGGCCCCAAGUCAUCAAAGACAGAAGGGCAAGAGACAGCCAAGGGCCAUUCUAGGACCUUCCCAAGGGCUCCCUACCCUAAGAACUGAUGUCUGAGACACAGCACUGUCCUUGCCCAGCCCAGAAGUAGGCCUGCACCUCACAGAUAACGCAUCUCCUCCAGGACUGAAGCUGCAUCUUAGGAAUUGGAACCCAAGAGGGAAAACCAGGGGAGAUACUUCUUCAGCCUCAUCUGCACUACUCCCACCACACACCCCAGGUUUAACAAGCUCCUGCUCCUUUCCGUUCCCCACAUGGACUCCCUGUCCUCAUGAGCUUGCAUAUGCUGUUCCCUCUGCCUGGAAAGCCCUUCCUUAGUAUCAACCUGGAAAAUUCCAACCCAUCCUUUAGGGCUCUGCUCAAAUGCCACCUCCUGCACAAGCCUCUGCUCAGAAGGAAUUCCUUCUUCCCCUCUGCUCCUGGGGACUUGCAUCUGGUGUUAUAAUAAUGUAUGUGCUGAUGUCUCUGUUCCCCUUGGGCUCCUCAAGGACAAAGACCAUGUCAAUGUCUCCACUGUUUCCCCAAUGUCCAACGCAGAGCCUGGAAUAGAUUCAGUGCUUUAGUCCUCAUCUGAAACAUGGGGGUGAUCAUAGCACCUGCCUCAUCAUGGUGUUGUGAGGGUUAAAUGAGUUAAUAUGUCUACUUUGCUGUACUUAGAACUGUGCCUGGCACUGGGUAAGUGUUAGUCAAGUGUUAUCCAUUGUUAUUAUCAAUGUGGUUCAGAAUAAAAGCUUGGAGAACUAGUGCAAAAGGAGAAACAGAAAAUGAAACUACCAUUUAUUGAGCGUCUCCUUUGUGCCAGCUGUUGUAUCACCCCCAUUUUACAGGUGAGGAUACUGAGGCUCAGAAAAAGUGACACAGAUAGAAAGGGGCAGAGCUGGGACUUGAAUCCAGGUUGUUUGACCAGAGUGCUGGUAUUCUCCCCUGCACCCCUCUGCAGCUGGCUCUGUCUCUUUCUAUCACUGUGUGUCUCUUUUCCCUCCUCGCUAAUACUCCCCACACCCAUCCAUCCUGCCUUGUGACCUUGAUGAGGCUAUGAAAGGCUGCCAGGGGUAGUAAGUAAAACAUAACAUUUAUGAUUAACAAAAUGGGGUUCAAAUCCUGGCCAUCUACUUGCCUGCUAUGUGAUUGCCUUGGGCCUGUGGCAUCUACUCCCUGAGCCUCAGUUUCUCCACUUGUGUCCUGAAGGAGUUUGGGGACCCUCUCCAAAGGCAGAUUUGUCAUGAUGCUGAAAAUUCUUAAGCUUCAGGGCACCUAACUUUCACUGGCCCCUUCCAAAUAAGAAUUCACUUUCAUAAGUCAAUUGGUCUUUGUGAUGUAUUUUUUUAAAGAUGGUCCUCCAAGAUACAAGCUUCAGGCCUCCCAAACCUCAGAUUCUUUUUGAGGUCCUUCCAACCAGGACAGCAUGGCCAGGAGGCCGGGGAAGGGAGGCAACCAACCCUCAGCCCCACACACACACUCUGCACAGAGGUCAGUUCCCAUCGCAAAAGUGGAGAUACAGAGGCCUGCAUGGGUGAGGGAACUUGUAGAUCACACAGCAAGUUAGCAUCACAGCUCUGCUUCGAACCCAUGUCUUCCUACUCCAAGACCAGUGCUCUUCGUUCUGGAGCUAGAGAAGGGGGUGCAGAGGGCUGGCUUGGGGGUGGGACCUGCUCCUCACCCAUGAGGGCUUUGGGCUAUGGUUCAGAGAGUGACUCAGUGCUUCUUAAAGGGGCCAGGAGCAGGGGCAGCUGUGGGUGGGGGUGUCCAGGGACUGCUGCUAAAAUAAGUAGUGGCUUCCUCUGAAACGCCUUCUGUGGUCUGCGCAGGGGAAGGAAGUGGAGGCCCAGAAGCAGGAGGGGGCAGAAGGGUGAGAGGCCUGAAACUGUUGCCAGCAACUCAGAGACCAAGCUCGGGGCAUCCCCCACCCACUAGAUACAACAGCUGGCCCCAGCCAGGCUGCAGCCUUGGGGCCUACAACCAGGAGGGUCCAGGGAGCUUCGGCCCAGCCCUAAUAUCACAGCCCUGAGGCUACAGAGAAUCCUUCUAGAUGGUCCUUGGCCUGGCUCCUUCUUCCCUCCGAAACCACUCCCCACUUUCUGACCAUGUUGGGCCUUUUCAUGUAUCUGUGCCUUGGCAUGUGCCAUUCUCUUGGCCUGAAAUGUCCUUCCCACCUUUGACUUUAAUAUCCAAUGCUAAUGUCGCUUAUCCAGGGAAGCCUUCUCUGACCACCCCUAAACACACACACAGACACACACACGGGCAGGAUCAGGUGCCCACAGACUCUCAUCAGAAGUAGUGUUUAUCAUGACGGCUAACGUUUAUUGGAUGAUUGGUGUUUACUACGUGCGAAUACUGCUCUGCAUGGAUGAUCUCAUUUGAUUCUUACAAAAACAUGCUGUGGGUUCUAUCAAUAGCUUUGUUUUAUAGAAGAGUAAACCAAGGUGCAGAGAAGACAAACAACUCUCCCUGAGGUCACACAGCCAGAAAAUGGCUGAACCGGGAGUGUAACUCAGGUCUGACUCCACAGCCUGGCCAUUUAAUGAGGUGCCAUCCUCAUAGACUAGGUGUGAACGGUGCCACGGGAGCCGUGCAGAGGAGGCUGCACCAUGAUGCUGAAUGAGCCUAACCGUCAGGACUCCUCCCUUGACUGUGCCCAUGGAGUGGCUGGGAGCUAUAGAGUGCUCUAAGUGGGGAGAGGAAACCAGGUUGUAAUGAGGAAGCAUUUCUUGUGUAAACGUUUCUGGUCAACGGUGUAAAGAGACCUCAGAAGUAUCUCCAAAGCUUCAGUGCUGUGUUGUAAAUACUUUCAAGUCUAAUUUUGUAUUUUAUUUCUAAAAGAAGGACCCCUAAAUUUGGAAAGUUUCAGGCCCCACAAACCCUAAACCUGCUCUGGCGAUGCCCUAUGACUUAACCACUGCCCUGCCUGCCUCAUGCCCAACCCUCUCCAUGUCCUGUUUUCACUCUAUUGGGGUUUUCUGUUUAUGAAUCUGCCCUCCCUUCCGCACCUUAUUCCAUCCACCGCUCACAUCGACAGUGAGCUUCUCACGGACAGAAUGCAAGCCUUGGUUUCUUGAUACUCUUGAGCCUGCUGGUACAUAGAAGGGCAGGAUGGAUUUGUUGAAUGAGAGAAUGAAUGAAUAAAUGCAUGAAUGAAUGAAAGAAGAUGGAUCCCUUUAUUGUCAUCAGUAAGUGUGAGAGAUAGAAUUUCAGCUUAAAAAUCCUAAGUCAGUCUUCCUGUGUGUGAACCCUAUGUAGGGAAGAAUUCAGCUCAGGCCAUGUCUGGCAAGGAGGCCAGGAGCCAAGGCCACCCCUCAUGGCCUUUCAAGCCCCCCACGGAGAGAGUUUUCUUUCUGUAGCUUCAGGAGGUCAAAAGUUCCCUCUAGAGAAGGAGGAAGUGAAAGUCCUGCUAUGGGUGAGUCAUCAGAGGGUCCCCUGGGAAGAAGCUGGCACAGGAGCAGCAUGGAGGGAGAAGCCUGGCUCAGAAGAGAUGCCAGAAUAAGAAGGAAGACCUGGGAGGUGGCCUGAAUGGAGAGGGCUGAAACCAUUUCCUGGCUGCUCCCCAAACUCCGGAGUCUUCAGCUUGGAGAAGGCAAUCCGUGGGAGACCAUCUCUGUCCUCAUGUCUCUGAAAGGCUGUUGAGGGGGUAGAAAUCAGAUGUGGUCUGUGCAGCAGCGAGGGCUUCUGGAGUCAGCUAGGAAACGUCAAGGAGGCCAAUUUCCAGCAGUCAGAGCAGGACUCUGAUGCUAUGGCAGUCGCCUGGUAAUAAUGAUGGUCAAUAGCAAGUGAGGCAGCACUGUUCAGUGCUCAGGACUCUGGAUUUGGACUUCCUGACUUGGAAUCCCAGCUCUGCUCCACUUUAGCUGCAUGACCUCAGUACAACUUCAUAAUGUGCCAAAGGAUGUUCCUAGAUGGAUGUCUCCAAGAAAAGGAUAAACUCUUCUGGUAGAGUGUUCGAGAUGAAUCAGGGGAAACCAGGCUGAUGGAUGAUCUACCAUCUUAUGAUACUGUGGUCUCAACCAGAAGCUUCAGGGUGUACCAUGGAAAGAAAGCAUGAAGGCUCAUGCCCUGAUGUUUAGAUGUUUCCAUUUAGAAGUGGCAUAUGUUGUUUUUAUUCAUGCUUUGUUGGCUAAAGCAAAUCAUGUGGCCACGUCCAACUUCAAGGGGGCAGGGAAGUAUAAUCAUGCCAUGUAUUCAAAAUAAGAGGAAAAUUGAAAUUUUGGUGAGUAUUCUUUUUUUUUUAUUAUUGUUCUUUAGAUGAAGGUUUACAGAACAAACUAGUUUCUCAUCAAACAAUCAGUACACACAUUGUUCUAUGACAUUGGUUAACAACCCCACAACAUGACAACACUCCCCUCUCUCAACCCUGGGUUCUCCAUUUCCAACUUUUCCGUUCCCUACUGCCUUCCAGUCCCUGCCCCAGGGCUGGUGCAUCCCUUCAGUCUUGCUUUGUUCCAUGGGCCGCUCAAUCUUUGGCUGAAGGGUGACUCUCAGGAGUGACCUCAUUACUGAGCUGAAAGGGUGUCUGGGGGCUUUACUCUCAGGGUUUCUCAGACUCUGUCAGGCCAGCAAGUCUGUUCUUUCCUUUUGAGUUAAACUUUUGUUCUACAUUCCUCUCCAGCUCUGUCUGGGACCUCUAUUGUGGUCCCUGUCAGAGCAGUCAGUAGUGGUAGCUGGGCACCAUCUCACUGUUCUGGACUCAGUCUGGUGGAGGCUGUGGUAGAUGUGGUCCAUUAGUCCUUUGGACUAAGCUUUCCAUUGUAUGGUGAGCAUUCUUAAUAUCUGCUACUUUCUCCAUUCCAUUUUCCUAUAUCCUUUGCUCCCAGGUAUAAGACUUAUCUGGAAGUUGUUGUGUUUUCUUCUCAUCUGUGUUUAAAAAUUUUUUUAAUACAUCUGUAUGCAUCAAUAAAUAGUAUAUGGAAAGAAAUCACAAAGGAAAUUAGAAAGUAGUUUGAACUGAAUAAAAAUGAAAAUACUACAUACAAAAAUUUCUGUGAUGCAGCUAAAGCAAUUUAUAGAGGAAAACGUGUUGCCUCAGCUAGCUACAUUCAAAAAGAAUAAAGUCCCCAAAUCAAUUAUCUAAGCUUCAACCUUAAGAAACUAGACAAACCCAAAACACCACAAGAGGAGUUAAUUAAACUAAAAGUACAUUGUAUUUCUAUAUAGUAGUAAUAAACAAUUUGAAAUUGAAAUUAAAAUCAAUGUCAUUUAUAAAAAUGAAAAAUAUAUGGAUAAAUCUAACAAAAUAUGAUUUAUACAUUGAAAACUACAAAUUGUUGCCAAGAGAAAUUAAAGAAGACCUAAUAAAUGGAGAGAUAUACUGUGUUGAUGAAUCAGGAGACUCAGUAUUUUAAGAUGUUAAUUUUUCCCCAGUUAAUCUAUAGAUUCAACACGAUACCAACAAAAUCUCAGCCGGCUUCUUUGUAGAUACUGACAAGCUGAUUCUAAAUUAUAAAUGGAAAUGUAAAGGACCUAGAAUAGCCAAAACAAUUUUGAAAAAGAAGGAAAUUGGCAGACUUAAACUACCUUAUUUCAAGACUUCCUAUAAAACUACAGUAAGCUAGACAAUGUGGUAGUGGCAUAAUAUUGGGCCUGUGGAUCAAUGGAACAGAACAGAGAGUCCGUAAAUAGACCCAUAAUCUAUGGUCAAAUGAUUUUUGACAAAGGGGCUGAAGUAAUUUAGUGGAGAAACAAUAGUCUUUUCAACAAAUAGGGCUGAAACAAUUGGACAUUCAUACGCCAAAAAAAAAAAACCUAAAGCCUCAACCUUUACUUCUCAUAACAUAUAAAAAUUAAUUUGAAAUAGAUCAUAGACUUAAAUGUAAAAUGUCAAACUAUAAAACUUCUAGAAGAUCAUAUGGGAGAAUAUCUUUCUGAUCUCGAUAGGUAAUGAUUUCUUGGACAGGACAGAGAUAGCACAAACAGUAAAAUAAAAGACAAAGAUUGAUGAAUUGGACUUCUUCAAAAUGUAAAGAUUUACUCUUUGAAAGUCACUGUUAAGAAAAGGAAAAGACAAGCCAAAGACUGAGAAAAAAUUCUGAUAAAGAACUGGUAUCCCAAAUUUGUUAAAAACUCUUAUAGCUCAGUACAAAGGCCAACAAUCCAGUUAUAAAACGGACAACAGAUUUGAACAGCUUCCCUAAAGAAGACAUAUGAAUGGCACAUAAGUGCAUAAAGAGGUGCUCAAGAUCCAAGAUCGUUAGUCACUAGGGAAAUGUAAAUUAAACAAUGAGUAACCACUAUACACCGAUAGAAUGCUAAAAAUUUUUAAAAUGGCACUACCAAGUGCUGGUGAAGAGUUGGAGCAAACUCACAUACAUGACUGGUGAGAUUUCAAAAUUAUAUAACUAUAUUGGAAAAUAGUUCACAAGUUUCUUAUUAAGUUAAACGUAUGACUAAUAAUUCCAUCUCCAGGUAUUUAUUCAAGAGAAUAAACACUAAUGUUCAUGCAAAGACUUGUAUAUGAAUGCUCAGAGCAGCUUUAUUCCUAAUAGUAAAAAAGUGGAAACAACCCAAAUGUACAUCAAGUGGUGAACAGAUAAAUUUUGGUACAUCCCUACAAUGGAAUACUUCUGACCAACAAAGUACAAAGAACUACUGAAAUGUGGAACAAUGUGGAUGAAUCUCAAAAGCCUUCUGCUAAUUAAAAAAGUCAGACGCAAAAGACGUCAUGCUGUAUGAUUCCAUUUAUAUAGCAUUCUGGAAAAGGCAAAACUGUAAGGGCCGAAACCAGAUCAGUAGUGGCCAGGGCUGGGAAUUGGGGGAGCGCUGCAUACAAGGGGAUGCCAAAGAACUUUUGGAGAGAUGGCAAUGCUCUAUAACUUCAUUGUGGCGGUAGCUACACGAGUGUAUUCAACAUUCAAAACUCAUCAAACUCUACGUUCAGAAAGGAUUAAAUUUAUCACACACAAACUAUAUCUCGAUAAACUGAAUUUUUAAAAAAGAAUAUAUGGAAUUCUUUUUAACAAGGUUAACUUCUCAAUUUUGAUAAUCAUACUGUAACUAUGUAAGAGAAUGUACUUGUUUAGGGGUAAAAACACACUGAGAUGAGUAAAGGAGAACUAUGUCUGCAAUUUUCAAAUGGCUCAGAACAAAAUAAUAUUUACUUACGUGUUUGUAAACACAUAGGAGCCCUGGUGGCACAGUGGUUAAAGUGCUCAGCUGCCAACCAAAAGGUUGAUGGUUCGAACCUGCCAGAGGCUCCUUGGGAGAAAGAAGUGGCAGUCUGCUUCCCUAAAGAUUUACAACCUUAGAAAUCCUUUGGGGCAGUUUUAAUCUGUCCUAUAGGGUUGUUAUGAGUUGGAAUCAACUUGACAGCAGUGGAUUUUGGUUAUGUACACACAUACACACACAUAUAUGUAUAUAUACACAUAUGUAUACACACACACAUAGAGAGAAACAGAGAAAGAAACAAGAGAGAGAAAUAAUGAUAAAGCAAAUGUGGUAAAAUGUUAACAUUUGGGAAAUUAGUGUGAAGGUGUAUAGAAAUUUUUUAUACUAUUUUUGCAACUUUUCUGUAAGUCUGAAAAUGUUUCAAAAUAAAAAGUCAAAAAUUGCAUAUGAUUAUUUUUACAUAAUAAAAAUUUUGCGUAUGUAGAUUUUG